RNAcentral lists this ribosomal RNA (484 nucleotides) under uncultured bacterium. Its description in RNAcentral is "partial 16S ribosomal RNA". It matches the Rfam family "Bacterial small subunit ribosomal RNA", at positions 30 to 507 of the family's 1533-position model. The record is from RNAcentral.
AUUGAACGCUGGCGGCAGGCCUAACACAUGCAAGUCGAGCGGAUGAAGGGAGCUUGCUCCUGGAUUCAGCGGCGGACGGGUGAGUAAUGCCUAGGGAUCUGCCUGGUAGUGGGGGAUAACGUCCGGAAACGGGCGCUAAUACCGCAUACGUCCUGAGGGAGAAAGUGGGGGAUCUUCGGACCUCACGCUAUCAGAUGAGCCUAGGUCGGCUUAGCUAGUUGGUGGGGUAAAGGCCUACCAAGGCGACGAUCCGUAACUGGUCUGAGAGGAUGAUCAGUCACACUGGAACUGAGAGACGGUCCAGACUCCUACGGGAGGCAGCAGUAGGGAAUAUUGGAAAGUGGGAGAAAGCCUGAUCCAGCCAUGCCGCGUGUGUGAAGAAGGUAUUCGGAUUGUAAAGCACUUUAAGUUGGGAGGAAGGGCAGUAAGUUAAUACCUUGCUGUUUUGACGUUACCAACAGAAUAAGCACCGGCUAACUUCGUG